This 470-nucleotide ribosomal RNA is filed under the name uncultured organism. Its description in RNAcentral is "partial 16S ribosomal RNA". It matches the Rfam family "Bacterial small subunit ribosomal RNA", at positions 335 to 797 of the family's 1533-position model. The record is from RNAcentral.
ACUCCUACGGGAGGCAGCAGUGGGGAAUAUUGCACAAUGGGCGCAAGCCUGAUGCAGCCAUGCCGCGUGUAUGAAGAAGGCCUUCGGGUUGUAAAGUACUUUCAGCGGGGAGGAAGGCGAUAAGGUUAAUAACCUUGUCGAUUGACGUUACCCGCAGAAGAAGCACCGGCUAACUCCGUGCCAGCAGCCGCGGUAAUACGGAGGGUGCAAGCGUUAAUCGGAAUUACUGGGCGUAAAGCGCACGCAGGCGGUCUGUCAAGUCGGAUGUGAAAUCCCCGGGCUCAACCUGGGAACUGCAUUCGAAACUGGCAGGCUAGAGUCUUGUAGAGGGGGGUAGAAUUCCAGGUGUAGCGGUGAAAUGCGUAGAGAUCUGGAGGAAUACCGGUGGCGAAGGCGGCCCCCUGGACAAAGACUGACGCUCAGGUGCGAAAGCGUGGGGAGCAAACAGGAUUAGAAACCCCAGUAGUCCC